This 597-nucleotide ribosomal RNA is filed under the name uncultured bacterium. RNAcentral describes it as "bacterial SSU rRNA". The stretch from base 1 to 521 matches the Rfam family "Bacterial small subunit ribosomal RNA", at positions 338 to 873 of the family's 1533-position model. The record is from RNAcentral.
CCUACGGGAGGCAGCAGUGGGGAAUAUUGGGCAAUGGAGGAAACUCUGACCCAGCGACGCCGCGUGCGGGAUGAAGGCCUUCGGGUUGUAAACCGCUUUCAGCAGGGAAGAAGCGAAAGUGACGGUACCUGCAGAAGAAGCACCGGCUAACUAUGUGCCAGCAGCCGCGGUAAUACAUAGGGUGCAAGCGUUGUCCGGAAUUAUUGGGCGUAAAGAGCUCGUAGGUGGUUCGUCACGUCGGAUGUGAAAAUCUGGGGCUUAACCCCAGACCUGCAUUCGAUACGGGCGAGCUUGAGUAUGGUAGGGGAGUCUGGAAUUCCUGGUGUAGCGGUGGAAUGCGCAGAUAUCAGGAGGAACACCAAUGGCGAAGGCAGGACUCUGGGCCAUUACUGACACUGAGGAGCGAAAGCGUGGGGAGCGAACAGGAUUAGAUACCCUGGUAGUCCACGCCGUAAACGGUGGGCACUAGUUGUGGGGACCUUCCGAUGGUCUCUGCGACGCAGCUACGCAUAGUGCCCGCCGCGGGAGGUACGAGCGCAGAUUAAACUUAAAUAGAGUAGAGCGNGAGACGUGCGACGACGACGACGAGGGAGGAGG